AAAAGCAGCCAGAUCGCCCUGCAACUCACAACUGGCAGCCCACUGAAGCUAAGCAGGUGUGAGCCUGGUCAGUACCUGGAUGGGAGACCUCCUGGGAAAAACUAAGGUUGCUGCUGGAA
Lepisosteus oculatus (spotted gar) is the source of this 119-nucleotide ribosomal RNA. Lineage: Eukaryota; Metazoa; Chordata; Actinopteri; Semionotiformes; Lepisosteidae. The record is from Ensembl.